RNAcentral lists this ribosomal RNA (491 nucleotides) under uncultured bacterium. Its description in RNAcentral is "partial 16S ribosomal RNA". It matches the Rfam family "Bacterial small subunit ribosomal RNA", at positions 29 to 506 of the family's 1533-position model. The record is from RNAcentral.
AGUGAACGCUGGCGGUAGGCCUAACACAUGCAAGUCGAACGGCAGCACAGUAAGAGCUUGCUCUUACGGGUGGCGAGUGGCGGACGGGUGAGGAAUACAUCGGAAUCUACUUUUUCGUGGGGGAUAACGUAGGGAAACUUACGCUAAUACCGCAUACGACCUACGGGUGAAAGCAGGGGAUCUUCGGACCUUGCGCGAUUGAAUGAGCCGAUGUCGGAUUAGCUAGUUGGCGGGGUAAAGGCCCACCAAGGCGACGAUCCGUAGCUGGUCUGAGAGGAUGAUCAGCCACACUGGAACUGAGACACGGUCCAGACUCCUACGGGAGGCAGCAGUGGGGAAUAUUGGACAGUGGGCGCAAGCCUGAACCAGCCAUACCGCGUGGGUGAAGAAGGCCUUCGGGUUGUAAAGCCCUUUUGUUGGGAAAGAAAAGCAGCAGGUUAAUACCCCGCUGUUCUGACGGUACCCAAAGAAUAAGCACCGGCUAACUUCGU